Molecule: long non-coding RNA, 359 nt
Organism: Fundulus heteroclitus (mummichog)
Lineage: Eukaryota; Metazoa; Chordata; Actinopteri; Cyprinodontiformes; Fundulidae
Exons: 2
Source: RefSeq, a predicted model, not a curated record
CAGGGAGUGAACGCUAUGGACCGGCGACGGGAACAGAAAGAGGACGUACACCAACCUCUUUGCACCUAUCGUCAUUGACGAUGAUGAAGAUGAAGUUCUCGUUCUUGAGGAAAAAAAGGACAUGCCCUCAGAAAAAUCAGAAUGAGUCAUAUAGACACAAGUAGAAAAUGAACAAGCUCUCUACUCCGUCUAAAAUAGAAUUAUACAAAUGUGAGGACUCACUAAAAUGAAAACCAAUCUGACAUUCUCUGCCUGUAACUACUUGAAUCAGGUCCAGUUGUUGAGAUGUGUGUUUAAAGAGAGUCCAUUGGAAUUAAGUUAAUAAGAAUAAAAAACUUGCUCAUUCUUUUAUAGAUUGA